Molecule: ribosomal RNA, 923 nt
Filed under: Microbacterium sp.
Lineage: Bacteria; Bacillati; Actinomycetota; Actinomycetes; Micrococcales; Microbacteriaceae
Description: bacterial SSU rRNA
Rfam family: Bacterial small subunit ribosomal RNA
Source: RNAcentral
UUGCUCUGGUGGAUUAGUGGCGAACGGGUGAGUAACACGUGAGCAACCUGCCCUGGACUCUGGGAUAAGCGCUGGAAACGGCGUCUAAUACUGGAUACGAGACGUGGCCGCAUGGUCAACGUUUGGAAAGAUUUUUCGGUCUGGGAUGGGCUCGCGGCCUAUCAGCUUGUUGGUGAGGUAAUGGCUCACCAAGGCGUCGACGGGUAGCCGGCCUGAGAGGGUGACCGGCCACACUGGGACUGAGACACGGCCCAGACUCCUACGGGAGGCAGCAGUGGGGAAUAUUGCACAAUGGGCGCAAGCCUGAUGCAGCAACGCCGCGUGAGGGAUGACGGCCUUCGGGUUGUAAACCUCUUUUAGCAGGGAAGAAGCGAGAGUGACGGUACCUGCAGAAAAAGCGCCGGCUAACUACGUGCCAGCAGCCGCGGUAAUACGUAGGGCGCAAGCGUUAUCCGGAAUUAUUGGGCGUAAAGAGCUCGUAGGCGGUUUGUCGCGUCUGCUGUGAAAUCCCGAGGCUCAACCUCGGGCCUGCAGUGGGUACGGGCAGACUAGAGUGCGGUAGGGGAGAUUGGAAUUCCUGGUGUAGCGGUGGAAUGCGCAGAUAUCAGGAGGAACACCGAUGGCGAAGGCAGAUCUCUGGGCCGUAACUGACGCUGAGGAGCGAAAGGGUGGGGAGCAAACAGGCUUAGAUACCCUGGUAGUCCACCCCGUAAACGUUGGGAACUAGUUGUGGGGUCCUUUCCACGGAUUCCGUGACGCAGCUAACGCAUUAAGUUCCCCGCCUGGGGAGUACGGCCGCAAGGCUAAAACUCAAAGGAAUUGACGGGGACCCGCACAAGCGGCGGAACAUGCGGAUUAAUUCGAUGCACCGCGAAGAACCUUACCAGGGCUUGACUUACCCGAAAACGGGCCAAAAUGGUCAC